GUAGGGAAUAUUGGACAAUGGACGAAAGUCUGAUCCAGCCAUGCCGCGUGAGCGAAGACGGCCCUUGGGUUGUAAAGCUCUUUUCUGAGGGAAGAACAUCCGGAGUAGGAAAUGACUCUGGCUUGACGGUACCUCAGGAAUAAGGAACGGCUAACUCCGUGCCAGCAGCCGCGGUAAUACGGAGGUUCCAAGCGUUGUUCGGAAUUACUGGGCGUAAAGGGAGCGUAGGCGGACAGGUCAGUCUGAAGUGGAAUUCCGGGGCUCAACUUCGGACUUGCUUCAGAUACUACCUGUCUUGAGUUCGCGAUAGGAAGAUGGAAUUCAGGGUGUAGCGGUGAAAUGCACAGAUAUCCUGAGGAACACCGGUGGCGAAAGCGGUCUUCUGGCGCGAAACUGACGCUGAGGCUCGAAAGCGUGGGUAGCAAACGGGAUUAGAUACCCGAGUAGUCC
Molecule: ribosomal RNA, 450 nt
Filed under: uncultured bacterium
Lineage: Bacteria
Description: bacterial SSU rRNA
Rfam family: Bacterial small subunit ribosomal RNA
Source: RNAcentral